RNAcentral lists this ribosomal RNA (253 nucleotides) under uncultured bacterium. Its description in RNAcentral is "partial 16S ribosomal RNA". It matches the Rfam family "Bacterial small subunit ribosomal RNA", at positions 524 to 776 of the family's 1533-position model. The record is from RNAcentral.
UACGAAGGGAGCUAGCGUUGUUCGGAAUCACUGGGCGUAAAGCGCACGUAGGCGGAUGUGUCAGUCAGGGGUGAAAUCCCGGAGCUCAACUUCGGAACUGCCUUUGAUACAGCACGUCUUGAGUCCGAUAGAGGUGGGUGGAAUUCCUAGUGUAGAGGUGAAAUUCGUAGAUAUUAGGAAGAACACCGGUGGCGAAGGCGGCCCACUGGCCCGGUACUGACGCUGAGGCACGAAAGCGUGGGGAGCAAACAGG